This is a long non-coding RNA of Amphimedon queenslandica, 283 nucleotides long. RefSeq lists it as uncharacterized. The transcript is spliced from 2 exons. The record is from RefSeq and is a predicted model, not a curated record. Lineage: Eukaryota; Metazoa; Porifera; Demospongiae; Haplosclerida; Niphatidae.
GUUUCUCGAAGUUUUGGGUUCUUGGUCAAGUUACUACUUUCCUGAGUUGAAGUAAGUAUUAUGAAGUCUCUAUUAGCUCGAAUGACCUGCUGAAUCCUUGUUUGCUUGAUCACUGGAUCUCGUUGUACUGUAAAACAUGGCGGCCUAUAGUUCUGACUUUAAACACCUUUUCUCCAAUCUGGGGCAGAGUUAGGUAUGAAUAUGAAACCAAUGAAGAUAAAUUGUCUGUUGUUUCUUGUAUUGACUCUUUUCAGAAGAAAUAUAGAUUUUUAUGAAGUUUUUU